GUGGAUAUAAAUAAGGUCAAAAUCCAAAGAUUUCUUUUUAGAACUCAUACUCUCACUUGAAGUUGAGAAAAUAAAGAUGGUAACAAAGAAGAGAUAUGAUUCAUUCAUCUAAAGAUGAAAGAAAAUUAUUGUGAGCACAAUGUCUUGUAGUAUCAAGAUUAUUGGAAGCUCUAGAGGAGCAGAUACAUGCUUGCCUAUGAGAAUGCAACUUAAAAUCAUUAAUGUGUAUACUUUCCCAAGUCUCGAAGGUCAAAAUGAUCUACGAUAUAACACAUGACAUUAGGUUUGAUAUGUCGUUGAUUCUAAAGUGGGAUUCAAUUCA
RNAcentral lists this long non-coding RNA (322 nucleotides) under Brassica napus (rape). RNAcentral describes it as "long non-coding RNA (BNAP_LNC011524)". Lineage: Eukaryota; Viridiplantae; Streptophyta; Magnoliopsida; Brassicales; Brassicaceae. The record is from RNAcentral.